Molecule: long non-coding RNA, 586 nt
Organism: Hibiscus syriacus
Lineage: Eukaryota; Viridiplantae; Streptophyta; Magnoliopsida; Malvales; Malvaceae
Exons: 2
Source: RefSeq, a predicted model, not a curated record
GCCUAUGGGUUCAAAUAAUCAGGCUCUUUUAUAAUUAAGAAAGCAAAUGCAGAACUUUAAAGUCUUGCGUCAGCUUGUUUAAAAUCAAUGCUUUCUGCAUCUUCUCCUGCAGAACAAAGGACUUACAAUAUGGAUUAGGCAAAUCCCAAACAAUAAUUAGUUAUUCAUAUUCAGGCAGAUCCAAUGAAGACCCAUUACAAAUAACCAAACAGUGGCCCAAUGCCACACCCCAUAAGAGUGAAGCCCACAACAAAUACAACCAGGCCCGCCCGGUUUCGGCCUAUGAUUGAAGCCCAAUAACAGACCCGACUGGAGUCCAAUGGCAUAUCCAAAACCCAAUUAGGGUUCCAUCUCAAGUCCUCAACGCCGCCAAUCUACAACCCUAGGAUAUGAACCCAUCAAACGAUCCAGAUCAAUCUCAAAUUAGGGUUUACCCUAAUACAUCUCCAUUGUCAACUCUCAAGCAGACCCUAGUUGCUCUCAAGCUGAGCCAUGCCCAGCUCCCGUCGCUGUCGUCCGAGCCUCUGACGUUGCCGCCGAUUUCAGCUAUCCAUCACAAAUCAAUCAAACAAAAGAAAAUCAAUCA